AGCGAACGCUGGCGGUAGGCCUAACACAUGCAAGUCGAACGGCAGCACAGUAAGAGCUUGCUCUUACGGGUGGCGAGUGGGGGACGGGGGAGGAAUAUAUCGGAAUCUACUUUUUCGUGGGGGAUAAGGUAGGGAAACUUACGCUAAUACCGCAUAUGACCUACGGGGGAAAGCAGGGGAUCGUCGCACCUUGUGGGAGUGAACGAGCCGAUGUCGGGUGAGCUAGUUGGCGGGGUAAAGGCCCACGAAGGCGACGAUCCGUAGCUGGUCUGAGAGGAUGAUCAGCCACACUGGAACUGAGACACGGUCCAGACUCCUACGGGAGGCAGCAGUGGGGAAUAUUGGACAAUGGGCGCAAGCCUGAUCCAGCCAUACCGCGUGGGUGAAGAAGGCCUUCGGGUUGUAAAGCCCUUUUGUUGGGAAAGAAAAGCAGCAGGUUAAUACCCCGCUGUUCUGACGGUACCCAAAGAAUAAGCACCGGCUAACUUCGUG
This 492-nucleotide ribosomal RNA is filed under the name uncultured bacterium. RNAcentral's name for it is "partial 16S ribosomal RNA". It matches the Rfam family "Bacterial small subunit ribosomal RNA", at positions 29 to 507 of the family's 1533-position model. The record is from RNAcentral.